UAUUCGGUGAUCAGCACUGAACACAGAGAACUUACCAUGGCAUUUGGGCUGACAUGGGUUUUCCUUGUUGCUGUUUUAAAAGGUGUCCAGUGUGAGGUGCAGCUGGUGGAGUCUGGGGGAGGCUUGGUCCAGCCUGGGGAGUCCCUGAGACUCUCCUGUGCAGCCUCUGGAUUCACCUUCAGUGACUACUACAUGGACUGGGUCUGCCAGGCUCAGGGAAGGGGCUGGAGUGGGUUGGCCACUCAAACUUUGUUUUUAAACAAAGCUAACAGUUACACGACAGAAUACGCUGCGUCUGUGAAAGGCAGAUUCACCAUCUCAAGAGAUGAUUCAGAGAAUACACUGUAUCUGCAAACGAGCAGCAUGAACACCGAGGACACGGCCGUGUAUUACUGUGCUAGAGACACAGUGAGGCGAGGUCAGUGUGAGCCCAGAUGCAAACCCCCCUGCAGGGGCGCGCGGGGCCUCCAGGGGGCGCUCGGGACCCACUGA
This is a non-coding RNA of Mandrillus leucophaeus (drill), 492 nucleotides long. Lineage: Eukaryota; Metazoa; Chordata; Mammalia; Primates; Cercopithecidae. The record is from the annotation of a RefSeq genome assembly.